CAACUUUUAACAACGGAUCUCUUGGUUCUCGCAUCGAUGAAGAACGUAGCAAAGUGCGAUAACUAGUGUGAAUUGCAUAUUCAGUGAAUCAUCGAGUCUUUGAACGCAACUUGCGCUCGAUGGUAUUCCAUCGAGCACGCCUGUUUCAGUAUCAAAA
This 157-nucleotide ribosomal RNA is filed under the name Mucor hiemalis. RNAcentral's name for it is "5.8S ribosomal RNA". It matches the Rfam family "5.8S ribosomal RNA". From Rfam's summary of the family: 5.8S ribosomal RNA (5.8S rRNA) is a component of the large subunit of the eukaryotic ribosome. It is transcribed by RNA polymerase I as part of the 45S precursor that also contains 18S and 28S rRNA. The record is from RNAcentral. Lineage: Eukaryota; Fungi; Mucoromycota; Mucoromycetes; Mucorales; Mucoraceae.